Molecule: non-coding RNA, 300 nt
Organism: Capnocytophaga cynodegmi
Lineage: Bacteria; Pseudomonadati; Bacteroidota; Flavobacteriia; Flavobacteriales; Flavobacteriaceae
Rfam family: Bacterial RNase P class A
About the family: Ribonuclease P (RNase P) is a ubiquitous endoribonuclease, found in archaea, bacteria and eukarya as well as chloroplasts and mitochondria. Its best characterised activity is the generation of mature 5'-ends of tRNAs by cleaving the 5'-leader elements of precursor-tRNAs. Cellular RNase Ps are ribonucleoproteins.
Source: Rfam
AGAGUAAAUCGGCUUAUCGCUAUUUUAUAGAGGAAAGUCCGGACACCAAAGAGCAACAUAACGGGUAACGCCCGUCCAUCGUGAGAUGAGGACAAGUGCAACAGAAAGCAAGUACAGUUCGGCUGUAGUGAAAUCAGGUAAACUCUAUGUGGUGCAACGCUAUGUAAACCAGCUUUUUAGGAUUGCUCGUCCGAUGUUGGAGGGUAGGCGGUUCGAAUUUGUAAGUAAUUACAAAUCAAGAUAAAUGAUAAGCAUCUUGUUCAUCAAGAAACAGAAUCCGGCUUAUGAUUUGCUCUCUUU